RNAcentral lists this transfer RNA (65 nucleotides) under Sinomicrurus macclellandi (MacClellands coral snake). RNAcentral's name for it is "tRNA-His". Lineage: Eukaryota; Metazoa; Chordata; Lepidosauria; Squamata; Elapidae. The record is from RNAcentral.
GUGUGCGUAAUUUAAAAAAAAUACCAAGCUGUGAUCUUGGCAAUAGGAGCACUUCUCACACAUCG